Phalacrocorax carbo (great cormorant) is the source of this 6964-nucleotide non-coding RNA. Lineage: Eukaryota; Metazoa; Chordata; Aves; Suliformes; Phalacrocoracidae. The record is from RefSeq and is a predicted model, not a curated record.
GCCCCCCUCAGGCCCGCAGCGCUCGGGCGGCCGGCAGCGGCCCGCGGCCCCCAGCAGCGCCGCGCCUCGCCAUGGCCGACCCCGACCCCCGCCCGCCUGUACCCGGGGCUCGACCGCUGCCGGCUCCGCGCUAGGGGCGGCCGGCGCGGGGGGCGAGGCUACCGGAGUGGCCGCCGGCCGCACCGCCCGCUCUCCGCCCCGCCGCGCUGCGAGCUGCCGCUGCUGGAGCGCCGGGCGCCGCGCCGCCGCCCGGGCUCAUGCUAGUCCUGUCGCGGCCUGCGGGUCCCGCCGGGCUCCGCGCCCCACCGUGCGGUGCCCGCCGGGGCUCAGCUCGGCCCGGCUCGCAGGCACCCGCCUACGAAGCCCCGUGCGCCGCGGGGGACCCGGCCCCCUCCCGCCCCGCCUCCUUUCCGUCCGUCCGUCCGUCUUUCCUUCCUUCCUAGCGGUGGCUCUUGCGGGAGAGUGCUGGGGCCGGGGCCGGGACUGGGGCCAUGCCCUGCCGGGGGAAGGCGGGCGCCGGGUUCCCCGUACCGCCUGCAGCAGGCAUUGAGGAGGGGGCAGCGGCGGGAAGCGGGGGAAGGACAGGGCGGCCAUAACGGCAAGGCCCGCCGGGCCUCGUCUCCCGGCCCGUCCGGGCCAACCCCGGGGCGAAGGGAUACAACAGAGGGAGGGGAGCCUAGAGAGAGGUGUAUCCCCGGGACAGCCCUACGUGGAGCCGGCGGGGUUCACCCACGCGUCCUCCACCAGCAGUGCCUUCUUUCCUCCUCGGCACCUGAAGCUCUCCCCAGGAGGGCCUGGUCAGUCACACCGCCACAUUGAAACAACAUUGCGACCUGCAAGGGUAUCCAGGACACCCUGCCUACACGCCUCGCCAACGGGAAGGAGGUUGCCCACCCUCUCACCCCAGUGGCAUAGCCUGUUUUUCUGCUUUAUGCUCGUUUAACACCUCAUGAGAUUGCAAGGACGGCACCUAGCAUGACCAGGCCUUUGGCUCUGGUGAAGCUCCCGGGUGCUACAGCAACACAAACAACAAGCAGAUUCUGCAUGUCAGGUCUUGCAAGCCCAGUCUGUCCUAGCAUCUGGCCAGAUGCUCCACCAGACUUGCAUAGAAACAUCCUGUCCAGAUUUACAGAUUGUGUAGCUGAGGAGGGACAUAACCAGUUGCCACAGUGAUGUCAGCAGGAUGAGGAGCCUUUGGACUUCAGUCUCAUGAAAGGAGGGAGAGCCUGUUCACAGAAAUGUUCCAGCUACAGAAAAGAACUGAAAGGUUAUAGCAAGCUCAGAAACAUCACAUGCUUUUGGCAAGGUGGGAUGGAGGAGGAUGAAAGGCAAAGGAGGAAAACUGCAUUAUCCCUGAUAGCUACGCCUUGAAAAUCAAUGCAAAGACCAGCAAUUUCAGAACAAAUGGACCAAGAGAAGACACGGCUAGAAACACAAAUUUCACCAAUAUCCAUCUUCUAAUAACAAUAUUCCAUCACCCCUGGCACAAUUAGAAACACCAUAUAUCUCUCUGAGGGCAUUGUCCAAGCGCUCUUGAAACAAAACAAUCAUGCACCAUUCCCAAGGAUGACUGCGGCAACUGAAUUAUCUGAAGAUGGCAAGCUGAAGCUCUCUGUGAUACUUUUUCAUAUCUGAAAAGCAGGCAAGGAAAACAAUGUCGCAGAGAGAAGCAGAUGGCCAACUGGUAUGCACUGAAAAGAUCCCUGCAGGAUGGCUGCGUGGAUCAGCCAGUUAUGGAUCAGAUCCUCUUCACAUUCACAGUUCCAAGGACUUUGGUGGGACCAUGAGUACAGCAGCUCCCACAAGCAGCAGUCCGGAGGCUGAAGCCCAAAAGGAAGCAGUUACGAUGCAGGAAAGUGGGGCUCCAAGCAGGGAUGCCCACAUCUGACCCAUCCACACCUGGCACCGGGCAGCCCGGUGCUGCACCUGGUGCAGUAUGUGAGCCUUUGUGCCAUCGUAGAGAAGUCUACCCCCAUCCCUCCACCCACUCCGUGGUGUAGGAAGUGUUACACAGACAGACUCAUGAACACCAUCUGCUCAACUGUAGUGUUUGACUCCAUCCCUCUGGCAUAUAUGUCGUGGUUUAACCCCAGCCAGCAACUAAGCACCACACAGCCGCUCACUCAUUCCCCCCACCCCUGUGGGAAGUGGGAGAGAAUCAGAAGAAUAAAAGCGAGAAAACUCGUGGGUUGAGAUAAAGACAGUUUAAUAAUGGAAAAAUAAUAAUAAUAAUAAUAAUGAUAAUAGAAUAUACAAAGCAGGUGAUGCACAGUGCAGUUGCUCACCACCUGCUGACCAAUGCCCAGCCCGUCCCUGCGCAGCAGUCACAGCCCCCCAGCCAACUCCCCCAGUUUAUAUACUGAGCAUGACAUCAUGUGGUAUGGAAUAUCCCUCUGGUCAGUUGGGGUCAGCUGUCCCAGCUGUGCCCCUUCCAGCUUCUUGUGCACCCAGCAGAGCAUGAGAAGCUGGAAAGUCCUUAACUAGUGUAAGCACUGCUCAGCAACAACUGAAACAUCGGUGUGUUAUCAACAUUAUUCUCAUCCUAAAUCCAAAACACAGCACUAUGCCAGCUACUAGGAAGAAAAUUAACUAUCCCAGCCCAGUACAUCCUAGUAUCCCAGGGCAGCAUAAUAGUCUGAGGUGGUCUAAGUACAGUAAUACAAACCUACAUUUUUCCAUUUCUAUAUGCAGUGAAGAAAAAACAAAGUUAAAAUGUACUUUUCAUCUCCCACAACAUUGCUCUUAGUUUUCUACCUGUAUUUUCUUGCACUGUCUCUUAAAAAAAAAAAAAAAAAGAAGAAACUCUUCAGUAAAAAUUAAUGGGCAUAAAUAUGCACAAUACUGACAUCUGUACAGGAACAUAAAGUCUACAGAGGAAACAACUUCUUUUUUUGGGGCAUCUUUAUUCAUUCUACUAUGAAGAAAGAAUAUUAAAUUUCAUACAUUAAUGCAAAUACAAUGAAAACUUCAAUCCAGACCAGGAAAAAAACUCUUCUUUCUAAAUAUGUGAAAUCACUACCCAUCGUUUUCCUGUUUAUAUCUACAUUUUAAAAUGAAAAGAAAAAAAGAAAAAAUUAAUUUCCAAGUACUUGGGUUGUCAAGUCAGAGGGGUUUACUAAUCCCACACAACAGUGUGUUCUGUUAGUUAUAGAAUCUACUACUUACAGCAUUUCUGUAGCUUGGAAUACAAGUAAGUGAAAUAGCUUCCCAGCGUUCUGGGACUUAUGACAGCUAGUUAAGACAGAGGCACACAAUCUAAUAUCUUCCCUUUUUAAAAGCUGGCCAGUGAUUUCGCUUGCCUCUUCUUUCAUAGUGAAGAGGGUGAUGUUUUUAAAUUUAUUUUUCACCAAAGUCUGAAGUCCCACAACUGCAAAUGUGACCUGUUGGCUCUCACUGGGCUUCAACAUCCCAGAAAAAAGCAAGGAGAAAAUCGGUUCCCAGCAGGCUCCAACUGAGAGUCCUAAAAGGGGAACAUUCCAGUGCACCGCAUGCUCUCCAGAGCAUCCCAGGGAGCUCGGCCGGCACCAUGCAGGGAGCAGAGUUAGGAACAGCACUCACGUCUCCUAGUGCCAGCCCUGCAUCCUAACGAGAGACCAAAAAGAUGAUCAUCAUGCACAUAUUAUCUGUGGGUUACAUGUCAGCUUUCCCUUUAUUGACAAGCAUAGAGAGAUGGACAGAGAGGCUUUUGAGACACAUAGAUACAAAUGAUCCCAAUCUUUCAUUUAUCUUUAAUGCUAAACUACCUGUAAAACGUCCCCUGAAAAAAUAAUUUAAUGGGGUUUUUUUUGCUCAACCUUAUGAUAAAACAGUUUUGUUUGACGUGGGGAAGAAUGGCAUAGGAAAAAAAAAAAGGGACAUACUUUUAAUGUAGCAGUGAUUUAGGGUAGGAAGAAAAACAGAGACUGCGCACAGGGCUCAUUACUACACCAAAACCUUUCACCUGUAAGGGGAAGCCCCACCAGCCCCAGGCUCAUGCCGCAAUCAGCUUACAUCUGAAAGUUCAGUUCUGCCCCACCUCAGCCCAGUUCCCAGCGGGCCUGCCUGCGUGCCUCUAGACCAUCCCACCAGUCCCACCACCAGCACUUUCUGCUCAGAGCUAGGAAGAGGAGGAAAGCAGAAGCAUUUGAAAUGCUGAUGGUUAUCUGAAACCCUAUAUCCAAAUAAGCAAAAGGGCCAACUCCAAGCAAGAGGGCUGUUUCUGGUUCUCAUAAGACACAGCAGUUGCCAAACUAAGAAAAAUACUGAACUGUUAAAUGAAACACAAAAGGAUGACACAGUUCAACACUUACUGAACAUUUGCGUGCGGACAGGACUGGCUUGUCUGGGGUGAUUAAAGCAAUGUAGAUCAAACCUUGCAGCAUGCACUUCUGAGCACUCUUCCAAGCCUGGGUAGGCCAGCCAGCCACUGCAAAACCCAGCUAAGGGAAAGCUGUUUCUCCAGAGGCUGGCAAAAAUACAGCAUGCCCCCCCCCCAGCCAGAAGCCAGUGCCUGCAUGCUCCGGGCAUCCACAGCAUCUUGGUACCCCCUGGCAUUUCUACACCCUGCUCUGCUCCUGGGUGUCCCUGGCGGAGACAGGGAAGACAAGGAAACCCUGCUCAGGCAGGGGAAUAUCCCACCAGCAGGCUGGUGCACCUCAUCUUCCUGCGCACAGCCCUGCAUGAGCCGCAGCCCCGGUGAGAUGGGCUCUGCCUGCUCAGUAAAACCCAUCAGUGCAGGGUUAGGAGGAUUACACCGCGACUAAAUGAAAGACUCCCUUCAAAGACAUCGAGCCAUACCUUUGAUCCUGAUGAUACUCUGCUGCAUGGAGAUGCAGCAAGUGCAGGACGUGCAGCCGUAAUUCCCUGACGGGACCGGCUGCUUUUCUGCUAGAAGACAAGCCUAGAUGUACUACUGUCACCACAAGACUCCUGCAAUAAACUCACAUUCAUUGAGUCCAGAAUUCUAUGUUUUAGUCAUCUGAACAGCAGAUAGCAUUUGUAACCUGCUCCAAUACCCUGACUCUCAGGAAAAGACAUUAAAGAAAGCAACUAUUCAACUUACUAUUCUAACAUUCUGUAAAUUGGAGAUCUAUUAGUGGAACCAACAGAAUAGAGGAGGUCGGGGGAGGAAAUAUUAAUAUUGCAAUUAUUCAGUUCAUACCAUUUAGUAAGCUAUUCACCAAAAAUAUGAAAAGGCAGCAUUUGAAAAUAUUUAGAGAAACACAUUCUUAAGUGAGGCUUGAAAGCCAUCUGAAUAAAUACAGCAGAAAUCUUCUACGGGUGUGAGUUUAUAACUAUGAUUUAUAUUCUGAUAGCCAAGCAAUGAAUGCAGUUUGUCAGGCACCUGAAACUGCUUCACAUUUAUGAUUCAUUUGCACAAGAACUACUUUCAAUGGCUUCAUUGUUUUUUAUUUUAAUUAUAAGACCAUUAAAAUAGAUGAAAGGCUCCAGCAAUCUCCAAUAUGUAUUUAGCCCAAUAUUCAGCCUCCUAAAGUGGCCAGCAGUGCACAGUGAGGGGAGGAUAAGGCAGCAUUCAUACCUCCCCCUAAUAAUCUCUGUGUCUCCCCCCAUUUUCAGCUCAAGGGAUUUGCUGUGCCUGCUGUGAUUCCUCUAUCGAGUAGUCUCCGUGAGACCUCUCUCUGCCAAAGGCUUGCCCAGUCUCUCCAUCAGCCUACGUGAACUUCUUGCACCCACAGCAUCGUCCAGCCAGAAGUCCUGCAGGUCACUCCCUCUGGCAUGAAGAAUCACCUCCUCUUUCUUUUGAACCCAGCUCACUACACUUUUAUUUCCCCAAAAAAUUAUUUUGGCCAUGACAAGCAGUACCUGCAUGAGCAACAACUUUAAAGUGUGUCACAUGAGGCAUUAUGGCUAGAAGCUGAAGCAUCACAUCAUUGCACCUUAUGAUUAUGUCAUCUUUAUACACUAGCACAGAUUUAUACACGUUUUUGACUUUGCCUGAUUUGAUGGGACAGUGGUUACUGAGCAUUCCAAACAGUUUAAUUUUUUGAGGAUAACAUCACUCUCAAUAUAGAAAGAAUUCAGCAGUGGCAUUAUUGAAUACCAGUAUUUAUAACCAAGGUUGCAUGCACAAGCAUGCAUGACAAAAGCUGACCACAAUAUGCUCUUUCUUCAGAGAAGAAACAGUUCACCUCAUCUCUUACCAUGCGGAAUGUUUUCAUCCCUGAUGUGUUGCAUUUGAAAAUAAUGAACUCUUGCCUUAUUUUACCAGGCAAGCUGAAUGUAGUCAAGAGAUGGUAGUGAUAUAAUCUACUUUUCAGUGUAGGGUUAUGAAACUUAUAAUGAACCAUCCCACACAGUUUUUAUAUCAGACAGUUUCCAGAAAAGUUAUUUUAGAUUAUUUUUUCUGUUGAAAAGUGGUUAUGGCAUUGUGCAAAAUAUCCUGCCUGCAGAAAUCAAAGUACUUCAGUCUCCAAUCUUGCAGUGGUUGCUUUAGGUUGGCAAAUUCUUCAAACUCUAACCCUGUUUCUCCAGGAGUUCACCUACAUCAUCGUUGCAGGAUGAUGGAUCUGUCUAGGUCUUCCCCAGCUUCAUCACAAUUGUGCCUGGAAACUUAUGAGGAGCCAUAGUGACAGGGAUGACUGCAGAUGAACUAAGAAAAUGAGUGUAACUUUUUUUUUUUUUAACCACCAACGGGCCAUCUCUCUAGAGUUUAUGAAGACACAAUGGAAAGAAUCUGACAAAGGCACGCAAAAAGAGUACUAGAUCGUAACUGUGACACACAGGAAGUAUUCUUAAGGCAGCUCUCUGGGUAACGAAGACAAAAAAUGCAGCAUUCUGCUGUACUGUAAAAGCUAAGCACCACGUAGUGCCCUCUGCUGCAUACAGAGGUAAUAGGCGAAGCACCACUGAACAAUGACAUCAUUUUAUAUUAAACAACACGGUAUGUUGUAUAUAUGACAAAUAUUUAUUUCCUUAAUUACUCUUGUUUUCUAAACAUACUAAUAAAUUAUGCAAACACCUUCCA